Long non-coding RNA from Neomonachus schauinslandi (Hawaiian monk seal), 459 nucleotides. RefSeq lists it as uncharacterized. The transcript is spliced from 3 exons. NCBI's taxonomy places the organism in Eukaryota, Metazoa, Chordata, Mammalia, Carnivora, Phocidae. The record is from RefSeq and is a predicted model, not a curated record.
GUUGGAGUCCGGCUGGUGCAGGGAAACCUCCCGUCGCUGAAGCUCCGCCGAGGGCCCCAGCAGCAGCCUUAGCCAGAGUUCACAUUGCAGAUUGUAGUCCUGCGAAAAUGGGACUACAGGUGCUGCUUUCCCAUCUGAAAGGAUGGUUUUGAAUUGCUCAAGACAACAGCCUUAAUUACUAGGCAAGGGAGAGGGGACUGGACAGACAGAUGCCCGGAGACCUGCUGCUGUAAGACAGUGCUCAGGAAGUCUUCAGGAGGCCAGGACAGGAUGGAGGAGGACACUUUUCUCACCUGCCGCCACCACACAGCUCCCCUGGUCCAGUGAGUCAUCCUCUUCGCUCUGACGCAUGGUCUCUGAGUCACCUCGCUUCUGUGCCCGCCUGUUCCAAGUGUUCCAGCUGAGGUUCCUUGUCUCGGGGCCCAUGCAUUCUGAAUGGCACGGCAUGGACGAGGCUGG